AUUAUAAAAUCAAAAUUAACAUUUUUAAUGAUUGUGUUGUGAGAUGAAUUUUAUAUUUGAUAGUAUAAUGAGUUGUGGUGUCUCAUGAGUAAUUAGACCAUUUUAUAUAGAUGAAAUUUUUAUUUAGCAUUUGGGUUUUAAGGAUUAUGGCUGACGAUAGAAGUAAGAAACCGACGAGUAGUCCGAAUAAGAGAAAACGGUACAGUGCGCAGUCAACUGACUGUAACGAAAAUAUCUUGAAAAAGAAAAAAGAAGUGUGUGCAGAAAAAAGGAGUGAUGCAAAGAACAAAAGGAAUUGGUAUGCAACACUUUCAAGAGAAAAGAAACAACAGCUAUUAAGUAAGAAAAGGGAGGCAUAUGCAAAGAAGAGGAAGCUUAUGAUUGAUUGUGAGAAUUCUUCAUCAAAUUUUAGCAAUAGGCAUCAAAAAUAUUGUCAUCAAUGAUGGCGAUCAUAGUAAACAAGCAGGUAAGAUAGUUGGGAAUGAGUUUAAUAAAAGGAAAUUAGUAAAAUUCAGGAAUAGUUAAUUUUUCCUUUUUUGUGUGUGUAUACUGAAAUAAAAACAAAAUCUCCCUUUUGGCAGUGGUAGCGGCAAGAUGUAGGAAUCAUUAGGAGUGAUUUCUUCUUGUUUUAUCUCUGUCUUUCUAUCUAUCUCUAUCUUUUAAAUCACUGCUACUUGCAGUCUUCAAUCUACAUUUCUUCGUCUAUAAAGCAAUUUUUGGAAUAACAGCAAACUCUGUGAAGGUACUCAUUAGGCCAACCUCUUGUGGAGACUCAAAUGAUGGAUGCACUAGAAAUGUUGUUUAUCAAGAAGUAUUAAAGCUGGCAAAAUUGCGUUAAUAUUUGGAGAUUUGAUUAUGGAGGUUGAGAUUGAAGCUACAAGUUCAAAGGAAAUAGAGUCUAUAUUCUUUAUGUCCUGUAUCAUUUUUACCAACAAAAAGAUUAGUAAAACAAAGAGAACCGAGUCUACUCCUUUAGGCUCUAGGCACAGUAUUAUAAUUCUUAUACCUUGUCUUCAUUGGACUUGAGUUUGUAUGGCUGUCUUGGGAAUACUAAAUAAAAGAUUACCCAUUCGUCCCUCUUUAAUAUCCAUCCAUUUUGAGGUGGAGUACCAAAAAUUGCUUUAUAGAGGAAGAAAUGUAGAUUGAAGGCUGCAAGUGGCAGUGAUUUAAAAGAGAGAGAUAGAUAGAAAGACAGAGAUAAAACAAGAAGAAAUCACUCCUAAUGAUUCCUACAUCUUGCCACUACCACCGCCAAAAGGGAGAUUUUGUUUUUAUUUCAGUAUUUCGGUCAACAAAGGGGCAGUGUUUAAUAUAUCCACUUCUAUUAUUGGAGCUGGAAUUCUGGCACUGCCUGCCAUUAUGAAGGUGCUGGGUCUUGGGCUUGGAAUUGGUAUGAUAGUGUUUGUGGCUAUACUGACAGAGGGUUUGUUGGAAAUUCUGCUGAGAUUCGGUAGGGUGGGAAACUCUCACUCUUAUGGGGAAGUCAUGAGGGAUGCUUUUGGCCGUGCUAGGAGGUUGCUGCUUCAGAUUUGUAUCUUGGUUAAUAAUGUUGGGACACUCAUUGCUUACAUGAUCAUCAUUGGUAAUAUUUUAUUUCUAAUUCUUUAGACCAUGAGAGAAAUUUAUUCUACUUUUACUCUUUUUUAA
Molecule: RNA transcript, 1647 nt
Organism: Quercus lobata
Lineage: Eukaryota; Viridiplantae; Streptophyta; Magnoliopsida; Fagales; Fagaceae
Gene name: amino acid transporter AVT6A-like
Exons: 6
Source: RefSeq, a predicted model, not a curated record